CCUCCUUUCUAAGGAUGUAUCUAGCUAGAUCAGAGCUUGCUCUGUCUCGUGAUACACUUAGCAUAAGAUCAGUAAUCAAAACUGAUCACAUCCGGACCAGGCCGUCCUCAUAUCUCUUCAGAACUGUCAUGAUUUUGCCGUUUGGCAGGAUCAGCAAGGGGCCUUAGCUCAGCUGGGAGAGCGCCUGAUUUGCAUUCAGGAGGUCAGGAGUUCGAUCCUCCUAGGCUCCACCACUCAUGCGAAGGCCCUACAUAGAAUGGGUCGGUAGCUCAGGUGGUUAGAGCGCACGCCUGAUAAGCGUGAGGUCGGAGGUUCAAGUCCUCCUCGACCCACCAUUCUGCAGUAUACGAUUUGAUCGUUAAGCAUCCUGUGAUGUUUAACCGUCCAAUCGGACCGGAUCGAUGUUCCUUCGGGAAGGUUGAUCACAUUGACAUCGUUUAGAGAGAUACAAUCAACAACACUGUUGGUCACCCGCGUAAGGGAUCGACCUCAGUUUGGUGCUGAUGACUGCUUCGGUGGUCUGAUGCGAGCCUUUGCAUUCCGCCCUUUUCCUCGGGCGCGCGAAGGUCUGCCGGAUUGAAACCACAGUGUUGUCCAAGUCAAGUACACUAACCCGGUUCAUAUUCCGCAAGGUUUAUGAGCCAUUGUUCACUUCUUAUGAAGUGAGCGGGAAAGUAAUGCUUUUGGUUCAGAAUAAAGCCGUAGUUUCUUACCAGCUUCUGCGGCGUGGCAGGUCACUGUCUUUUUCUGGACCAGAUCAAGCGCGAGAAGG
RNAcentral lists this transfer RNA (772 nucleotides) under Phaeobacter porticola. Its description in RNAcentral is "partial 16S-23S ribosomal RNA intergenic spacer". The stretch from base 259 to 332 matches the Rfam family "tRNA". The record is from RNAcentral. Lineage: Bacteria; Pseudomonadati; Pseudomonadota; Alphaproteobacteria; Rhodobacterales; Roseobacteraceae.